This 457-nucleotide ribosomal RNA is filed under the name uncultured bacterium. Its description in RNAcentral is "bacterial SSU rRNA". It matches the Rfam family "Bacterial small subunit ribosomal RNA", at positions 923 to 1379 of the family's 1533-position model. The record is from RNAcentral.
GCACAAGCGGUGGAGCAUGUGGUUUAAUUCGACGCAACGCGCAGAACCUUACCAGCCCUUGACAUGUCCAGGACCGGUCGCAGAGAUGUGACCUUCUCUUCGGAGCCUGGAACACAGGUGCUGCAUGGCUGUCGUCAGCUCGUGUCGUGAGAUGUUGGGUUAAGUCCCGCAACGAGCGCAACCCCCGUCCUUAGUUGCUACCAUUUAGUUGAGCACUCUAAGGAGACUGCCGGUGAUAAGCCGCGAGGAAGGUGGGGAUGACGUCAAGUCCUCAUGGCCCUUACGGGCUGGGCUACACACGUGCUACAAUGGCGGUGACAAUGGGAAGCGAAGGCGCAAGCCCUAGCAAAUCUCAAAAAACCGUCUCAGUUCGGAUUGGGCUCUGCAACUCGAGCCCAUGAAGUUGGAAUCGCUAGUAAUCGUGGAUCAGCACGCCACGGUGAAUACGUUCCCGGGC